This 2905-nucleotide ribosomal RNA is filed under the name Escherichia coli. RNAcentral describes it as "23S ribosomal RNA". It matches the Rfam family "Bacterial large subunit ribosomal RNA". The record is from RNAcentral. Lineage: Bacteria; Pseudomonadati; Pseudomonadota; Gammaproteobacteria; Enterobacterales; Enterobacteriaceae.
GGUUAAGCGACUAAGCGUACACGGUGGAUGCCCUGGCAGUCAGAGGCGAUGAAGGACGUGCUAAUCUGCGAUAAGCGUCGGUAAGGUGAUAUGAACCGUUAUAACCGGCGAUUUCCGAAUGGGGAAACCCAGUGUGAUUCGUCACACUAUCAUUAACUGAAUCCAUAGGUUAAUGAGGCGAACCGGGGGAACUGAAACAUCUAAGUACCCCGAGGAAAAGAAAUCAACCGAGAUUCCCCCAGUAGCGGCGAGCGAACGGGGAGCAGCCCAGAGCCUGAAUCAGUGUGUGUGUUAGUGGAAGCGUCUGGAAAGGCGCGCGAUACAGGGUGACAGCCCCGUACACAAAAAUGCACAUACUGUGAGCUCGAUGAGUAGGGCGGGACACGUGGUAUCCUGUCUGAAUAUGGGGGGACCAUCCUCCAAGGCUAAAUACUCCUGACUGACCGAUAGUGAACCAGUACCGUGAGGGAAAGGCGAAAAGAACCCCGGCGAGGGGAGUGAAAAAGAACCUGAAACCGUGUACGUACAAGCAGUGGGAGCACAGAGCAAUCUGUGUGACUGCGUACCUUUUGUAUAAUGGGUCAGCGACUUAUAUUCUGUAGCAAGGUUAACCGAAUAGGGGAGCCGAAGGGAAACCGAGUCUUAACUGGGCGUUAAGUUGCAGGGUAUAGACCCGAAACCCGGUGAUCUAGCCAUGGGCAGGUUGAAGGUUGGGUAACACUAACUGGAGGACCGAACCGACUAAUGUUGAAAAAUUAGCGGAUGACUUGUGGCUGGGGGUGAAAGGCCAAUCAAACCGGGAGAUAGCUGGUUCUCCCCGAAAGCUAUUUAGGUAGCGCCUCGUGAAUUCAUCUCCGGGGGUAGAGCACUGUUUCGGCAAGGGGGUCAUCCCGACUUACCAACCCGAUGCAAACUGCGAAUACCGGAGAAUGUUAUCACGGGAGACACACGGCGGGUGCUAACGUCCGUCGUGAAGAGGGAAACAACCCAGACCGCCAGCUAAGGUCCCAAAGUCAUGGUUAAGUGGGAAACGAUGUGGGAAGGCCCAGACAGCCAGGAUGUUGGCUUAGAAGCAGCCAUCAUUUAAAGAAAGCGUAAUAGCUCACUGGUCGAGUCGGCCUGCGCGGAAGAUGUAACGGGGCUAAACCAUGCACCGAAGCUGCGGCAGCGACACUAUGUGUUGUUGGGUAGGGGAGCGUUCUGUAAGCCUGCGAAGGUGUGCUGUGAGGCAUGCUGGAGGUAUCAGAAGUGCGAAUGCUGACAUAAGUAACGAUAAAGCGGGUGAAAAGCCCGCUCGCCGGAAGACCAAGGGUUCCUGUCCAACGUUAAUCGGGGCAGGGUGAGUCGACCCCUAAGGCGAGGCCGAAAGGCGUAGUCGAUGGGAAACAGGUUAAUAUUCCUGUACUUGGUGUUACUGCGAAGGGGGGACGGAGAAGGCUAUGUUGGCCGGGCGACGGUUGUCCCGGUUUAAGCGUGUAGGCUGGUUUUCCAGGCAAAUCCGGAAAAUCAAGGCUGAGGCGUGAUGACGAGGCACUACGGUGCUGAAGCAACAAAUGCCCUGCUUCCAGGAAAAGCCUCUAAGCAUCAGGUAACAUCAAAUCGUACCCCAAACCGACACAGGUGGUCAGGUAGAGAAUACCAAGGCGCUUGAGAGAACUCGGGUGAAGGAACUAGGCAAAAUGGUGCCGUAACUUCGGGAGAAGGCACGCUGAUAUGUAGGUGAAGCGACUUGCUCGUGGAGCUGAAAUCAGUCGAAGAUACCAGCUGGCUGCAACUGUUUAUUAAAAACACAGCACUGUGCAAACACGAAAGUGGACGUAUACGGUGUGACGCCUGCCCGGUGCCGGAAGGUUAAUUGAUGGGGUUAGCGCAAGCGAAGCUCUUGAUCGAAGCCCCGGUAAACGGCGGCCGUAACUAUAACGGUCCUAAGGUAGCGAAAUUCCUUGUCGGGUAAGUUCCGACCUGCACGAAUGGCGUAAUGAUGGCCAGGCUGUCUCCACCCGAGACUCAGUGAAAUUGAACUCGCUGUGAAGAUGCAGUGUACCCGCGGCAAGACGGAAAGACCCCGUGAACCUUUACUAUAGCUUGACACUGAACAUUGAGCCUUGAUGUGUAGGAUAGGUGGGAGGCUUUGAAGUGUGGACGCCAGUCUGCAUGGAGCCGACCUUGAAAUACCACCCUUUAAUGUUUGAUGUUCUAACGUUGACCCGUGAUCCGGGUUGCGGACAGUGUCUGGUGGGUAGUUUGACUGGGGCGGUCUCCUCCUAAAGAGUAACGGAGGAGCACGAAGGUUGGCUAAUCCUGGUCGGACAUCAGGAGGUUAGUGCAAUGGCAUAAGCCAGCUUGACUGCGAGCGUGACGGCGCGAGCAGGUGCGAAAGCAGGUCAUAGUGAUCCGGUGGUUCUGAAUGGAAGGGCCAUCGCUCAACGGAUAAAAGGUACUCCGGGGAUAACAGGCUGAUACCGCCCAAGAGUUCAUAUCGACGGCGGUGUUUGGCACCUCGAUGUCGGCUCAUCACAUCCUGGGGCUGAAGUAGGUCCCAAGGGUAUGGCUGUUCGCCAUUUAAAGUGGUACGCGAGCUGGGUUUAGAACGUCGUGAGACAGUUCGGUCCCUAUCUGCCGUGGGCGCUGGAGAACUGAGGGGGGCUGCUCCUAGUACGAGAGGACCGGAGUGGACGCAUCACUGGUGUUCGGGUUGUCAUGCCAAUGGCACUGCCCGGUAGCUAAAUGCGGAAGAGAUAAGUGCUGAAAGCAUCUAAGCACGAAACUUGCCCCGAGAUGAGUUCUCCCUGACUCCUUGAGAGUCCUGAAGGAACGUUGAAGACGACGACGUUGAUAGGCCGGGUGUGUAAGCGCAGCGAUGCGUUGAGCUAACCGGUACUAAUGAACCGUGAGGCUUAACCUU